RNAcentral lists this ribosomal RNA (796 nucleotides) under Peziza sp. Its description in RNAcentral is "partial large subunit ribosomal RNA". It matches the Rfam family "Eukaryotic large subunit ribosomal RNA", at positions 76 to 888 of the family's 3401-position model. The record is from RNAcentral. Lineage: Eukaryota; Fungi; Ascomycota; Pezizomycetes; Pezizales; Pezizaceae.
UGCCUCAGUAACGGCGAGUGAAGCGGCAAAAGCUCAGAUUUGAAAUCUGGCGUCAUAUUGGCGUCCGAGUUGUAAUCUGUAGAGGAGUAUUCGAGUGUGGCGCUGGCUUAAGUUCCUUGGAACAGGACGUCAUAGAGGGUGAGAACCCCGUUAACGGCCUUUGUCUUAUGCUCAUGUGAAUCUCCUUCAACGAGUCGAGUUGUUUGGGAAUGCAGCUCUAAAUGGGUGGUAAAUUCCAUCUAAAGCUAAAUACUGGCAAGAGACCGAUAGCGCACAAGUAGAGUGAUCGAAAGAUGAAAAGAACUCUGAACAGAGAGUUAAAUAGUACGUGAAAUUGUUGAAAGGGAAGCACUUGCUACCAGACACGCCUGUAGUUGAUCAACCUUCAUUCUUGAUGGUGCACUCAGCUAUAGGUGGGUCAGCAUCAGUUACGGCGGUGGGAUAAAGGCCUGGGGAAUGUGGCUUCUCUCGGGAAGUGUUAUAGCCCUGGGUGUAAUACCGCCUGCUGUGACUGAGGACCGCGCUUCGGCGAGGAUGCUGGCAUAAUGGUCGUAAGUGACCCGUCUUGAAACACGGACCAAGGAGUCUAACAUCUAUGCGAGUGUUUGGGUGUCAAAACCCUUACGCGGAAUGAAAGUGAAUGUAGGUGGGAACCGCAAGGUGCACCAUCGACCGAUCCUGAUGUCUUCGGAUGGAUUUGAGUAGGAGCAUAGCUGUUGGGACCCGAAAGAUGGUGAACUAUGCCUGAAUAGGGUGAAGCCAGAGGAAACUCUGGUGGAGGCUCGCAGCGGUUCUG